RNAcentral lists this ribosomal RNA (468 nucleotides) under uncultured bacterium. Its description in RNAcentral is "partial 16S ribosomal RNA". It matches the Rfam family "Bacterial small subunit ribosomal RNA", at positions 28 to 507 of the family's 1533-position model. The record is from RNAcentral.
GACGAACGCUGGCGGCGUGCUUAACACAUGCAAGUCGAACGGAAAGGCGCUGCUUGUGUGGGGUGCUCGAGUGGCGAACGGGUGAGUAACACGUGAGUAACCUGCCCUUGACGUGGGGAUGACUUCAGGAAACUGGGGCUAAUGCCGGAGAGGAGCUCCUGCUGCAUGGUGGGGGUUGGAAAGUUUCUGCCGUGGGGGGUGGACUCGCGGCUUAUCAGCUUGUUGGGGGGGUAGUGGCUAACCGAGGGUUUGACGGGUAGCCGGCCUGGGAGGGUGGCCGCCCACCUUGGUCCUGCGGUACGGCGCAGUGUCCUAUGGUAGGCAGCAGUGGGAAGUCUUGCCCAGUGGGGGCAAGUCUGAUGCGGCAGCGCUGCGUGUGUGAUGACGUCCUUCGGGUUGUAAACCGCUUUCGCCUAUGACGAAGCGUUAGUGACGGUACUGGGUAAAGAAGCACCGGCUAACUACGUG